Long non-coding RNA from Falco peregrinus (peregrine falcon), 4531 nucleotides. RefSeq lists it as uncharacterized. The transcript is spliced from 6 exons. NCBI's taxonomy places the organism in Eukaryota, Metazoa, Chordata, Aves, Falconiformes, Falconidae. The record is from RefSeq and is a predicted model, not a curated record.
GGAGGGCUGUGGAGGGAGGGGGCAGGACGGGGAUGCAUGUGAUCGUCAGGCUUACCAGCCAGACAGACGGACAAGCGCUCCGCUCCGCCGGCGUUUGGCAGAUUACAAGUGGAUGCAUCAAAGCAGCGAAUAUCUCAGUGAAGUUUCUAGUCAUUGCAGUUAGCUGAGUGUCCCUGCAAGGGCCUCCUCACCAAGUGAUCUGAGUUAAAAGGCUACCACGUGAGCUUGUGUGUUGGUGGAAGUGGGGGAAGCUCAAACAUGCCUUUGGGGACACCCGAGCCAGGAGAGGCUUGGUGAGCAGUUUGUGGUCAGCCAUGAGGAUGUACCCAGCAGGACACAGCAAGGGACUUGAGGACCAGCAGCUUUGCUUGCACACCUCCACUUUUGCAGUGGCCACAGUCUCACGGCUCCAUUUCAUGGGAAAUCUCAGAAGAUUUGCAGUGGUUUUGGAAUGAGAUCAGUAGAUGACCUGCAAGGCUGGCAACCCAGGGAAUGGGACAUCUGCAGACCUGAACCUUGAGGCUGGCCUGAUAUUUAUAUUCAUCUGGGAAGAAAAGGCAUCGCAUGAGCCCAGGUCUAGGGAUGUGCUGUGCCUGGAAGAUGUAAAAUGACAGCUCUGCAAAGAAGACCAUUUUGAAGAGGGUAUUGACGAACACUUCAACUAUGAAUGAGAGCAAAGAGAGUAGCUCUCAGAAUGAUAUACACCACGGUCCAAAGUUGGAAAUCCCCCACCUUACCCAGGAGCACCCAGCAGCACUGACACGUACCAGAGGUCUGAAGCAGUACCUUUGCAGAAUGAAGCAUCCUACUGAUGCUUUGGCUGGACCAUAUCUUUUUUAAAAGUUAAGAUGCUUUCCUGGAUUUUCGCACACAGACCCAGCAGUGCUGUCUGAUAGUAAGGACUGCUAGGAGCUGAGGAUUAGUAAGAGAUAUGUAAUAAUGUCAAUUAAAAACAGUAUUUUGGAUGGAUUACUAGAAUCAGUCUAGUAUCAGUAAUCCCAAGUUAACUUUCAAAGACAUUUUUUAAUUUGGAUCUGUGUACAGUCCACUUAGAAGCAGCAAAAUAAUUCACAUUUGAUUCAUCUAGUUAAAAUUCUAGUUGGAUUUUCUUCCACAAGCAAUGGAUUAAACUGGAUUUCCUCUCAAUCACUUAGCAUGGAGAUCUAGUAUGAUAAAUUGCCCUUGAAAAUAAAACUGCGAGUCUCUUAUUAAUGGUAAAAAAGAACAUAUGCAGAGCGUGACUCUUUCUUAGCUGAAAAGGCACAGCAUUCAGUAGAUGAAAACCAAGAUUAUUAGAGGAGAAAGUUGAAUCGAUAAGUCUCAAGAUGCAGAAUGUGCACGGUUGUGGUGGAAGUUCUCUCCUCUUUCCCACUCAGAAGACCCCGAAGUUGGCACAGUGUUUCAGCUAGGUCACACACCGAGGUCAUUUGCAGACCUAUUGCUGUUGACAUCUGAAAAAUACUUGUUCGAUAUAAUAAGUAAGUAUAACUCCUCCCACUAAUGACUAGUACAUUGAUGACGAGCAGCACAAUUACAAUGAAGAAAAUGACAUUUGGAAGCAGUAUCAAACAGUACUUAACAACAAUGAAGCUAAACACGGGGUGGUUCUCAGAUAACCUGGGGAGACUUCAGAGUUAAAUAGAAACAAGACCAAAUCUAAACGAAGCAAUAAUGAGCUAGAAAAGGUGCUUCAUUAGAAAAGAAAACUGAAAAGCUGGCUGUGAUGCUUAUUAAGACAGAGACCAGUGGCAAAUUUCUGCAUGGAGUGAGAUUUCAGCAGGAAUGUAUCCCUUGGCUUGCACGUUUCCCUGGUUCCAACCAGUUUCAUAAACAGUUGGACAGUUUCAUAAACAAAUGGUCCAUUUUUAGUUUUAGCACAAUAGUUUGUGCAGCAGUUAGUUAUAGUAGCUAAUUAGCAUAACAGUUUGGAGCCAAAAAAAGAACAUCUUACAAACAGACUGAGAAAUGUAGUUUAAAUUUAGUAGGCAAAAUGCCAGAAAUAAGCAGAGAGGAACUGAUAGAAAAUGAACUUCCAGUGUGGCUGAAACAAAUAUUGGCUUCAAAUACUUUUAAACAGCAAGACCACAAAUUCAGCCAAACAGGUGGAAAACAUUUGGAUGCUCAUUCUCUCAGACAUUUCUGAUACUUUAAGAAAGGGAAGGGGGAUUUUAGUGGCUGAAAAUAUAACUCAGUAUUUAGGGUUGUGGUAUAAGGUUUAGUAAAGAAAAGAAACCAUUAUAGUGACCUUGCCAUGAAAAUUAUGCUGUUCAUAUUGCUGUGAAAUGGAGGAGAAACUCAAUAUGUUGGUAUAUCGUGCUCUGUUAUCCCAAAGUUUACAAGAGAAGAGCUCCCACACAAAAGUAAUUCAAUCAUUUUUAAUCUGCCAUUUAAAAAGCGGGGAGGGGAGGCUGUCAUUAGCCUCAUCUUUCAGCCCUAAGGUGCUGAGACCUCCAGCUGUGUUGUAGCCAUGUCAGCUGAGCUAUACUGCAGAACCGGGAAGGGUGGGGGGGCUGCUUUGUUUACCAUGACUACAUGUGCCACCCAAAUGACCAGGGUGCCAAGCCCACACUGGCAUGGGCAUGCUGCUGAGGUGCAGAAGGUCCAGCAAGAAAUUUAUUAAAAUUGUCCACUAACAUCAGGCCAGAAAAAAGGAGAGAUAUUUUUUAUUCCCUCAUCUAUAUUGACUAACCCAGAAUAUUUUGGAUCUUCGAAAAGCCUUCAGUCACGGAUACUCACGGCUGAUAGUUUUUUCUGUUAAGACAUUCUAUAUUUGGGUGUGAAAUUGCCAUAAAAUACUUUUUUGAUAUAUUGAAAGUACUCUGAUCUCCAUGCUGGCUGUAUAUUUUAUCCCACACACUGGGAUGAGGUAUGGAUAGGCUACGGGAAGGAGGCCAUGGGGUGUCUGACCCUUCACAGGGCAUCACUUGUGCUUGGCUGCAGGACCAACCACCAGCGCUGCAGAGACAAGGACCAGGAAAGGGUCAGAUACAUCUGUCCGGCUCCUGCCUGCUCCUGUCUCCUUAUCCUCCAGUCUGACCCGGCUGCCUGCUGGGGGCCAUGUUCAAGUGAAAGGUUGAAGUAUUCCACACUUCCCGUCAGAAAGCUCUUCUUACUCUCUGUCAGCUCUGCUUGCAGCUUAGCUCUACUCCCCCCACGGGAAACACAGAGCUAUAUCCUGCUUGGGACUCUUGGAAGUCUCCCUGAGUACCUACACGUCUUCGAAAAUCUUGAGAGUCAAAGACUCCAAGUGAGAAAAAAAAAAAUUUAGCACUAGACCUUGGACUUGUCAAUCACAAAUAUUUGUGGCUUCUUUCUGAUGAGCCAGCCUGGGCCAGCGGUUUCAAAAUCUCUUCUGACCCCAUAUGACAUCUCUACAAAUCUGAAGGGCUUAGACUGCCAAAGGACUCAGACCAUUGCUGGCACUGAACAACCCCAACCUACAUGCAAGGCAAUGGGUUUCCAACACACACAAAUCUCGUAGUCAUAAAGAAAUUAUAUUCCUGUUGACUUACAUGAUGCUGGGUUAACUCCUGACAAGGUGCUGAGGUGUACCCUCCAUCCACUCACACAACGUAAAACAUUCUGCAAAGGAACCGGUGACUGGGGCUGGAUACCAGGCAUCUUCAGGGAGAAGUUAUCACACCAGGCUUUCUGCUGCAAUAGGUAUAUGGGUAUAUAUAUAUGGUAUCUAUACCAAUAUACAGCCAUGGUAUCCCACUGCCCCUUUUUGAUUUCCAGUCUCCUAGCAGAGGGGACCCAGAAGGGUGCUACGACUCAGGCUCAGGUGCUGAACCGCAAAGGAUGCCCUCACAGAGCCAGCAACCCCCGAAGGACCCGCUCUGGGUCUGUAAAUGCCAUCCAUCACGGUUCCCUAAGCACAGAGGCAAGCAGCAAGCAUGCGCUUGGCAGCCACCCUCCGUUUUAGGGAGAGCUUUUGUCAGGGAGGUGAGGGCAAUUUUUUGCAGAUGGUUUUAUUUAUUUAUAUCUCAGCAGCCCUUUCUCGGCUUUAUUUAUAUUUAUUGCAGGGGUUCUGUUUGUGGUUCAGGGAUUGCACCGGCGCUGGGCUGGUACAUUAUAAUUAGUGCUGAUCGUUUUGCUUGUUGAACAAAUGACAACUGGCAGCCUUUGUGGUGUUUCCAUGUUGUAAGCACUUACCGCUGUGCCUCUCCGUGAUGAAACACAUGUCAGCUCCCAGCAGUGUAGGACCACCUGGAGCACAUUAGCAUCAGAGUGAUUUAACAACCUGAUCAGACCUUUUCCAAACAAAUGGCAUGUGGAGGAAGCAGGACAUGGAAACUUUACCCGGUUGUCCCAAGCAAGCACACUUCCAAGCAUUUCCCUGGUUUUUAGCCCUCCGUAACUUCCAGGUUCACUAGGUAGCUGUGUGGCAUACAGUGUAUCAGAGGCUCUGAAAGCUGCCAGAACUGCAAUCUUGCUGCCAGAAGAGCAAUUGUACCUGUCAAAUACUACCAGAGCUGAGCCAAAGAGGGGAGCAGCGUCUCACCCAUCGGCACGAGGAGUGGGUUGCUCA